This 67-nucleotide transfer RNA is filed under the name Heterobothrium okamotoi. Its description in RNAcentral is "tRNA-Lys". Lineage: Eukaryota; Metazoa; Platyhelminthes; Monogenea; Mazocraeidea; Diclidophoridae. The record is from RNAcentral.
CUUGUUAUAGCUUAAAAAUUUAAAGCUUAGAAUUCUUACUUCUACUAUACUCUUAGAGUUGACAAGG